RNAcentral lists this ribosomal RNA (376 nucleotides) under uncultured bacterium. RNAcentral describes it as "bacterial SSU rRNA". It matches the Rfam family "Bacterial small subunit ribosomal RNA", at positions 524 to 898 of the family's 1533-position model. The record is from RNAcentral.
GACGAACCGUCCAAACGUUAUUCGGAAUUACUGGGCUUAAAGGGUGCGUAGGCGGCGCGGAAAGUUGGGUGUGAAAUCCCUCGGCUCAACCGAGGAACUGCGCUCAAUACUACCGUGCUCGAGGGAGAUAGAGGUGAGCGGAACUUAGGGUGGAGCGGUGAAAUGCGUUGAUAUCCUAAGGAACACCGGUGGCGAAAGCGGCUCACUGGAUCUCUUCUGACGCUGAGGCACGAAAGCUAGGGUAGCAAACGGGAUUAGAUACCCCGGUAGUCCUAGCCGUAAACGAUGAGCACUGGAUUGAAGGGUCCUCCAUAGCCUUUCAGUCGCAACGAAAGCGUUAAGUGCUCCGCCUGGGGAGUAUGGUCGCAAGGCUGAA